This 392-nucleotide ribosomal RNA is filed under the name uncultured bacterium. Its description in RNAcentral is "bacterial SSU rRNA". It matches the Rfam family "Bacterial small subunit ribosomal RNA", at positions 28 to 414 of the family's 1533-position model. The record is from RNAcentral.
GACGAACGCUGGCGGCGUGCCUAACACAUGCAAGUGGAGCGACGAACCAGGCUUCGGCCUGGGGCAAGGCCGCGAACGGGUGAGUAACACGUGGGUAACCUGCCCUGAUGAUUGGGACAACCCGAGGAAACUCGGGCUAAUACCGAAUGUGCCCUCCGGCCUCAAGGCCGCUGGGGAAGGAAGCUUCGGCCUCCGCAUCGGGAUGGGCCCGCGGCCCAUUAGCUUGUUGGUGAGGUAACGGCUCACCAAGGCGACGAUGGGUAGCUGGUCUGAGAGGACGAUCAGCCACACUGGGACUGAGACACGGCCCAGACUCCUACGGGAGGCAGCAGUGGGGAAUCUUGCGCAAUGCGCGAAAGCGUGACGCAGCAACGCCGCGUGGGGGAAGAAGG